This 87-nucleotide small nucleolar RNA is filed under the name Otolemur garnettii (small-eared galago). RNAcentral's name for it is "Small nucleolar RNA U13 (ENSOGAG00000023073.1)". It matches the Rfam family "Small nucleolar RNA U13", at positions 1 to 87 of the family's 104-position model. Lineage: Eukaryota; Metazoa; Chordata; Mammalia; Primates; Galagidae. The record is from RNAcentral.
AUCCUUUUGUAGUUCAUAAGCGUGAUGAUUGGGUUCUCAUGUGCAUGCGUGCGAUGUGCCUCCCACGAAUCUUGUUAUGACGUUGGU